Molecule: long non-coding RNA, 1184 nt
Filed under: Chrysolophus pictus (golden pheasant)
Lineage: Eukaryota; Metazoa; Chordata; Aves; Galliformes; Phasianidae
Description: lncRNA (ENSCPIG00010011778.1)
Source: RNAcentral
GCACCAGCACAGCCACGGCCAGAGGCCGCCGGAGCCGCGCCGAGAGCAGCCACGGCAGUGAGGUACGGACAGAUGGACGGGAGGGCUUGGGGUGCUGCUGGGAUGGCUUUGGUGGGAACCUGUGGGGAAACUGAGGCACAGGGCACUCCCCAAGGGACGUCAACCUCUGCCACUACUCCUGCAGGGACAGGGAGAACCCCAUCGCAGUGCCAGGUGGCACUGUCCCUGUGUCCCUGACCCCAGGUCCUGGGCCCGGCUGUCCCACUGUCCCAGUCCUAUAGGUCCUGGUCCCAUAGGUCUCUGUUCCAGGUGUCCAACUCCCAGACGCUCCUGUUCGCUGUGUCCCUAUCCCAGAUUUCCCUGUCCCAGAUGUCCCCCGUGUCCCUGUUCCUAUUAUCUUAGGUAUUCCUGUCCCAGGUGCCCCUCUAACCUCUAGAUGUCCCUGUCCCCAGGUGUCCCUGUUCCAAGUGUCCCAACUGUCCCUUUCUCCGUGUGUCUCAGUCCCAGGUGUCCCUGUCCCCAGGUGUCACAGACCCAAGUGUCCCUGUCCCAGAUGACCAAGGUGUUCCAUGUGUCCUGGCACCAGAAAUCCCAGUCCCAGGUGUCCCUGUCUGCAAGUGUCCCUGUUUCCAUUGUCUCCAGGUGUCCCUGACCCAGGUGACUCAGGUGUCUCUGUUCCCUUAUAUCCCCAUUCCUGGUGUCCUUGUUCCAGGUGUGCUGUCCCUAGGUGUCCCUGUUCUUAAUGUCCCAGCUGUUGCUGUAUCCUAGACCCAAGUGCCCCUAACCCAGGUGUUUCUACUCCUGUUAUCCCAUGUGUCCUCAUCCCACAUGUCCUGACCCAGGUGUUCAGUCCCAUGUGUCCCUACUCCCAGUGCCCCACGUGUUCUUGUCUCAGGUGCCCUAUCACCCAGAGUCCCCAUUCCCAACCUUCCAGGUCACCCAGGUGUUUCAGGUGUCCCAGCAUCAGGAGUCCCUAUGCCCCAGCAUCCCAGUUUCCAAUCUCUCAGGUUUCCCACAACAUCCCAAGUGUCCCUGACCCACGUGUUCCAGGUGUCCCAACAUCACAUCCCUAUCCCUCAUUGUUCCUGUUCUCAGUCUUCCAGGUGUCCCUGUUCCUGGGUGUCCCAGUGCCACAGCUGUUCUUAUCUCCUAGUAUUCCAGAUCCAGGUGUCCUGACCCAGCAC